This 340-nucleotide ribosomal RNA is filed under the name Pheidole sp. b RA0516. RNAcentral's name for it is "partial 12S ribosomal RNA". Lineage: Eukaryota; Metazoa; Arthropoda; Insecta; Hymenoptera; Formicidae. The record is from RNAcentral.
UUUUAAAUAAAAUUAAUUAAUAGGAAAUUAAAUGAAAUCAUUAGAUUUAAAUAAUUUGACGGUAUUUUAAAUAGUUAGAGGAAUUUGUUAGUUAAAUGAUAAUCCACGAAUGGAAUGUCCUAUUAAAAAUUUUAUGUAUUGUUGUAUGAAAAUUAUUUUAAGAGAAUUAUAAUUAAAAUAUUUAAUUUAAUUUGAAUUCAAAUCAAAAUGUAGAAUUAAUAGGUUAUAAUGAGUUACAAUUUAAUAUAAUAUAAUAUUUAUUUUUUUAAUUAAAAUAAUUCAUUAGGAUUUAAAAGUAAACUUAAAAAAAUUUUUAAGUUGAAAUAAUAAUUAAAAUAUG